Molecule: ribosomal RNA, 164 nt
Filed under: uncultured bacterium
Lineage: Bacteria
Description: partial 16S rRNA
Rfam family: Bacterial small subunit ribosomal RNA
Source: RNAcentral
UAGGGAAUCUUCCACAAUGGGCGCAAGCCUGAUGGGGCAACGCCGCGUGUGUGAUGAAGGCUUUCGGGUCGUAAAGCACUGUUGUAUGGGAAGAAAUGCUAGAAUAGGGAAUGAUUCUAGUUCGACGGUACCAUACCAGAAAGGGACGGCUAAAUACGUGCCAG